RNAcentral lists this unclassified non-coding RNA (3720 nucleotides) under Hevea brasiliensis (rubber tree). The record is from RNAcentral. Lineage: Eukaryota; Viridiplantae; Streptophyta; Magnoliopsida; Malpighiales; Euphorbiaceae.
GAUUGCUUGCUUUUACAUCCCACCCAUGUAGACCAACUAUAAUUAAUACUAAUAUCUUGCAAAAAUGAAACUAGAUAAUCCUAGGAAUUCUAGGACUCACUUUUGAAAGAGAAAUUUCUGGAAAGAAUCCCAACCCAACAAAGAUAUCCACUCCAUUUUCCUAAAAUCCUUGCUGUGUCGAGUCAUUUGCUCCUAUUUUGGAAGAUCUCUGCCAUGGUUCAAUUCAUAGCCGCACACAGCAAGCAACCUAUUUGCUAAUACCACUCACCAGAAACCUUGAACAAAAAAUCAGCUCAAUCUUGGUGCGUUGCCUGGUGUGCAUCUUCCAUUAACUUUGGAUAGCAAGAUCCUGGGGGCGACAUCACAAACUUCUUGAAAAGUGAUUGACAGUAUUCAUGAGACAGAAAGAAAAUGUCUGUUUUUCACUUUCCAACCACUUACCACAUUUCUUACAAUGGAAGAAAUUUUCCCUUCCUCCAUCUCUGUAAAAGCAAUCAUGAAGGAAAUGAACGAGUUCUGAGUGAUUGACUAAUUGGAAUAGUUAAAAGAUUCUGAAGAAAGCGAUCACAAGGCCAUGAAUGGAUUUCUAGAUUUGGUGAUAAAGAUAUCACAACUUACCAACAAAACUUUGUGACUAACAAUACAAAUAAAGAGGUAAUUCAGUAGUUUGGGAAAUUUAUUUAUUUCAUGAAUGAUUAGAGGAUAUUAGUAUGAUGAUUAUGUGAUUUAAUCAUAUAAGAUUACAAUGAAAAUGAACUGAGAGAAAGAUCAAAAGAUUUCAAGCAUCUCACCUGCAAAUUCCACAUUCAUCACAAUGGUAUUGAUUCUUUGAAACCUGAAAGCAGCAUUCUUUAUUAAAUUUGGACAAGUCAGAAUGAUAAUCACUGAGAAGCAAAGCACAAAUAUUACAUCAUCGUCAAAGAAUAUGCACUUGGCACAGAAAUACUUCCCCAUGCAAACUCCACAACUAACGCAAUUCUGCUUAACCUGAUUGAAUACAACACAAGAAUUUUAACUAAUUUGUCAAACGUCUUUGACUUGCAUCCGAUCGUAGUUUAAGUUAAAUAUACUUACAUCUUGUUCUUCCCCACAAAGGGAGCAAAUAACCUGAAAGACAAAUACAAUAGGACAGAAUUAGAAAGGGGCAAAAACACUAAGAAAAUGACACAAUACAUCCAUCAAGGAACAGUAUGACCUACCAAGGAUAGUAAAUCAAAAUCUUACGAACUGCCCCUUAAAAUUCCAAUUUGAACUAUCCAUUAUAAUCUCAUUGGACUACUUGUUAAACCCAUCAUAAUUGUGCCAUUAGAUAGACCUCCCAUUCAAAUUAAGAUUUAUUUUUUUUAAAAUGAUUAGCAGAUACAGAAAAAGAAAGAUCGAACCUUUAUCACUUCAUGGCUUGGAAUAUAGUGUUGAUCAUCAGGACUAGUUUCCACUGAAUUCUUAGCUUCAUUAUGGCAAUGCAUACAAUAAAAGUCCUCAUUGCAACAAGGUGCUCUAAUUUUGCAUCUCCUUCUAUAAUGUGAGCACCCAAAAUGCCCAGAUCCAAAUUCCAUGGCAUUCGCAAGUGCAUCUUCACUGUGAUUUGUUGGGAUCUCAAUUCUAGUGUCCAUUAUCUUUGAAGUUUGACCAUUCUGCUCCAUCUUCCUACUCAACUUUCUACAUUUGCUAAGAUCGGAUUGGGGCUUAAUUCUAGCCAUUUCUAUAUCUUGACAAUUUAUCUCCUCCAUUUUCCUCACUAACUUGGAAAUGAGCACACAUAACAGAAAGAUGAAAGGUAGAAGGGUCAUUUUAAUGGGAUUAUCUAAAUUUCGAAGAGCAUAUAUAUACUGCAUUGUUGAGUAAAUACACUGCCAGACUGCACUUGUAAAUCCGAAACAUUGAACAACCGUGAAAAGUUCACUACUUGGGGAAUUAUUUGUUGAGUGACCACAAAAGCAAAGGGAACGGCUCAAUCUUUCCAUUUUGAUAAGUCCUUCUCUUCGUGCUGAGUUAACCAGAUCAAUACUAGAAAGAAGUAAAGCCACAAAUGACAGGGCCAUGCCAGCUAAGAGAUAACCCAGUUGGUCUAGUACUGCUGAGACACCCUCUAGAAAUAAGCUCGCGAGUAGAAAAGCCCACUCUGCUGUUUCAGUUGUGGGUGAGCUGUCUCCAAUUUCUGAAUCAAGUUUAGCAUGAGCAUCUGCUGAGCUAACCAAACUUUGGUCCUGGUUCUUGCCAUUGUCAAAGUCCUGAACAGAAAUUAUUUGAAUAAUUUCUGGUUGUUGCUCUGAAAAUUGAAGAGGUGCCGAUGGUAUGCUUUCUUGUUUAUGAUCUUGCGUUUUAAAUGACCAUAGGCUUGUAUCUUUUACCACUUCUGCCCCCUUUUGUAUCUCUAUCUUCCUCUCCUCUACAAGUUUCUUCAAUCUUUUCUUCAUGGUCUCAGUUAAUGUAUUCACAUCAGUGGUUGCCUUGACAGUUACAGUUUCCUCCUCCUUGUUAAUUGUCACCUCCUGUACUCCUCUGAUUCUACCGAUAAUUUUGCGAAUCCUCCUGAUGCAUCCAUCACAGUGGAGAGGCACCUUAAAAACUGCCAUUAUUGCUGGAACCUAAAGGAAUAGAAAUUUAUAGAAAAACAAACAUAUAUUAAUCGUAAAGUGGAUUUGGGUUAAAGAAUAUGACUUCCACAUUUCACAAAAAUGAAAUAAGCUAUCUAGAUUGCAAGUAGAAUGAAAUGAAUGAAAUGAAGCUUGAGUUCUGAAACUUCAGACCAUUAAAAUUUUUUUUAAGGAAUUGUAAUUUGGAAGCACUAAAAGUAGAAAGCAAAUAACAAACAACACAUAUUCAGGUAAGCAAAACUGCAACAAAUAUCACUUGUAGAAAAAAAAGGAGAAAGAUGACUUCAUAUUGACUAUGCAAAAUUCAGAAUCCCUGAGGGAAAAAGGUCACUGUGAGAGUACUUUUACUGGUUUCAACUCCAUUAUGCUCCCUUCCAUUUCAGUAUCAUCACUCCCAUUCUCUUGUGCACUUUCUUUCUUCUUCUUUUUAUCAUCAUUGCCAUUCUCGCUUUCUUUAUCACUGCCAUUGCUGUAUUUCUCUUUGUUAACCGACAAGAUCUCAACAGGACCAUUCAAUCUCUCCUUCAGAUUCUCCAACAAAACCUUUGCAUCCAUGGUCCCUUUGACUGUUAUCAUUUCCUUCUCUUCAUCUGGUACCAUCUCUUGCACACCUUUAAUGAAUGCUGUUAAGAUUCACACAUCCAUCAACAAAAUGAAGGUGUUGAGAUACAAAAAAAUUACCAUUUGUGUCCCGGACUAUAUUUCGAAUCUUCGACCUACAUCCCUGGCAGUAAUGUCCCAGCUUGAGAACUACUACUAUUGUUGUCUCCAAAGCCUCUUUCGGUUGUUUCUUAUCAAUGUCCGGCUUUUCCUCAUUAGAUUUCUUGUCAUCUUUGUUCUUGUCAGAGGUGGUGCCAUUAUCACCUUUCUUGGGAUAAGAGGAGACUAUGUCGACUUUCUUCUUGAACUUGCGGCGAAGCUCUUCUUGAAUCUGCAAAGGAUCCACCUCACCUAAGACUGUCAACUGGUUCGAAUCUAUGUCUACCUUCACUUUCUUUACACCUUCGAGGCCUCGAGCAUAAACCUUAAUUUCUGAAGCGCAGGCCUCACAGUGCAUCCCAACGCCCAAAACAACAGUGGAGAAGAGAUACUUGGUCGCCUCCAUUAGUAUUCAACAAUCGAG